GGCAAACAGACAAACGUUUUGAUGCAAAGAAAGCAUUGGAUUUGAAAGUUCCCAUGGAGAAGAAAAAUGGAGAGAUUCUAAAAGUAUGAAGAUACUCCUGUGUAUAAUGAGGAAAUCUUGUCAGUGAAUGUUGUUGCAAUUGUGGACCAGGCCAGAGUUGUACUAAACCAACUAAGACACAAUGAGAUACAGGAAUGACACAAUGAGAAACAGGAAACAGGAAAGUGAUGACUGAUCGCCACCUGUUACAAAUUCA
Molecule: long non-coding RNA, 256 nt
Organism: Mya arenaria
Lineage: Eukaryota; Metazoa; Mollusca; Bivalvia; Myida; Myidae
Exons: 3
Source: RefSeq, a predicted model, not a curated record